UCCCCCCCCCCCCCCCCCCCCCGGUAGAGCGUCCUUUGGGCCGUGUGACCUGGGGAAUCCCUGUGAAACCAGCACUGAAGGCUCCAGAUGACUGGCAAAUGCUGUUUCAAGCGAGCCGGAACUGUCUUAGCUGCCCGAGCCCCUCUGCUCAGCUUUCGUCCAUCUGCAUUUGUCCUGGCCUCCUUCUCUUCGCUCCCGGUCAGCGCAGAUUGGCCCCCGCGUCCCCCUGCAUGAUCCCAGGGCGCUGCCCAUAACCUGGGCACUCCCCGCCAGAGUGGUAUCUCCUGGCCAGCCCAGGCCUUGAAGCUGUGCUCUUCUGACGAGCCCCCUUCACAGGACAGCUGGACGCCCCGCCUUCUGCGGAGACGUCAUGGGGGCGUGGCUGCCCUGCGUUGGUCCGACCGUGGCAGCGAUCCUGGUAAUUUGAAAACCAGUUUUAUUUGUGAAGAUGCCCGAGUUUCCCCACAUUUCCCAAAACAGCACCUUUCAUUGGGCACGUAAAGCCCAGGAGAGCAGCCCUGGGGAGAAGCACAGCCGAAUUCACAAAACACAGGAUAAACGGCUGCCUCUCAGCUGUGCGACUUCUCGUCUUCUCGCGCAUCCGUUUUCCUGCUGCAAGAAUGGGUCCUCAGGCUCUGGUCGGUGAGUCCUGUGUGUGGGCCUGUUACCUGCUGAGACCUCACUUGGAGACUGCAGAGGUUAGCUCCUCGCUAGACCCCAUCGCAUCCCCGUGAUGUCUCUGCUUUCCAUCAGCCCCCCCUGCCUAUUGCUGAUCUUCUUGACACGCAUGCCUUUAUGCCAGCUCCCUCUGAGCCUCACAAAGUGUGCGGCUGGACCAGCGACACCGGGGAGGCACACCGUAGGUGCUCGAUAAUGAAAGUGCCUGGCCUGUGGCAAAGGGGAGCCAGAGGUCGCCGUCUGGCCCAUCCGGUUUUGUCCUCCACUCCAAGGCCAUCUUCCAGAAUCACAGGUGGUCAGCACCAACCGCUGAACGUACACCCUCCCGAGAACCUUCCAGGGCUCUGCCCUCUCCCCAUCUGUGCCACCCUGGGUCCCCAGGUCCUUUGACUCAAGGCUUUAGCAUUUAAACUGGCAGAUGAUGUAACCGGAGGCUCCCUGGAAAGGGCCCCUCCCUCUAGCUCACCCACCUUAGCUACAGUGUUCAUCAAAAAUGAUUAAUGUUCCAGAGCCCUUGAGAAUUAUCUGGGUCACACCUGGCCAUGCUGUCACCAAACCCCGCAGUGCGUUAUAGGUCACAGUGAAGGAAGCCACCCCCACUAGCCAGCCCCCAAGACCUGGCCAGCACACCAACCAGACUUUUGCAUGAGGGGGGCCAACCAGCCCCUCCCAGGCUGGACAGUUCGUACGGCCUGUCAGUCCGAUGCUCAGCCAGAGACCGUGACCACCUCUCCUUCGGCAAGACCCAGUUUCCACAGCUCCACCCUCUCGCCCAGGAAAGCAGGACCAAAGGAGGAGGCAGGGGACUUGAUGCCAACACGUAAAAUAAAAAGAAUUGUAAACCACAUACUCGUGUUUUGGAUAAGAUGUCAAGAAAGCUUUCUUCAGUUAUGGAAAUUCCUUUAAAAUCAACAAAACCCCGUGGGUUGUGUUCUUUGGUGAGUUCUUCCUGUUCUUUUGCCUCCUUUUCAUUUUCACCGUAAGAAUCCAUAACCAGCCUAAAGAACAAGUCUUGCUGCAUAAUACAAGAGCAGUGGAACUAUGGGUGAUAUUAAUAAUAUGUACAUUUAUCGAGCAUUUUUCAACUUUAAAGCCCUUUAUAAAUAUUAACUAAUUAAUCCCCUUAGCAACAAAGUAGUUACUUUGCGGGCUUUUAGGCAUAUAAUUCAAGAAUGGCCUGAAUUAUAAAUCUCCCUGUGGAAUGAUUUGCCAUCUCUUUCAAAUAUACCACAUUGGUUGAGAUGCUGUUUCUGUCUUCUUCUGAAGUCAAAUUUUAAAAAUCACUCUAAAAGAAAAGCGGAAAAGAAAAGAAUUCUAGCUGCAGCCAAUGUAUCCUAGUUGUCAGCUUGCUUGUGCUAAAGGCAAAAAAUGUUUUCAGCACUGAAUCUCAUCUAAGGCUUGCUGACUACUAACCAUGCCCUAGAUGCUAGCAUCUCUGAUGGCUCACAUAGAAAAUUCCAGAAACAAACAUCCUCGAUUCUAUUUAAGUGUAUUUAAAAAUAAAACAGACAUCAAUACUAAUAUUGCUCUGGGCUAUUAUUGCCUUAGGUGUUUUUCCUCUUUCCUUUCUGAGGUUGGAAUCAA
Long non-coding RNA from Phacochoerus africanus (Common warthog), 2262 nucleotides. RefSeq lists it as uncharacterized. The record is from RefSeq and is a predicted model, not a curated record. NCBI's taxonomy places the organism in Eukaryota, Metazoa, Chordata, Mammalia, Artiodactyla, Suidae. The transcript is spliced from 3 exons.